GGCAAGUGCCAUGUGCAGACCAUCCAGCUGUGCCGCCGGCUCACCGUGGAGUUUCUGCACUACGUCAUUGCUGCCCGUGCUUUGCAAAAGGUCUUCCUGUCCAUCGAAGGCAUUUACUAUCAGGCUGAGGUGCUGGGGCAGCCCACUGUGUGGAUCACACCCUAUGCCUUCUCCCAUGAUCACCCGACAGAUGUGGACUACAGGGUCAUGGCCACUUUCACUGAGUUCUACACCACCCUGCUGGGCUUUGUUAACUUCCGCCUCUACCAGUUGCUCAACCUGCACUACCCACCAAAGCUUGAGGGUCAGGCCCGAGCAGAGGUGAAGGCGAAGGAGGAUGCCUACGCAUUGGAUUCUGAGAGUUCCAUGGAGAAACUGGCAGCCCUCAGUGCCAGCCUGGCCCAUGUGGUGGUGCCUGCGGCAGAGGAGGAAGUUCAGGCUGACGAGUUUCCUGCUGAUGAGGAGAUGGCGUUACAGGAAGAGAACCGCAGGAAGGAGCUGGAGGAUCAAGAAAAGCACAAGAAGCUCUUUGAAGGCCUGAAGUUCUUCCUGAACCGUGAGGUGCCCUGAGAGGCCCUGGCCUUUGUCAUCAGAAGUUUCAGGAGGGACGUGUACUGGGACAAAUCUUUGUGGAUUGGAGCCACCUAUGAUGUCACAGACGCUGGCAUCACCCACCAAAUUGUUGACCGACCUGGACAGCAGACCCCUGUCAUCGGCAGGUACUAUGUGCAGCCCCAGUGGGUGUUUGACUGUGUCAAUGCCCGGCUCCUCCUCCCUGUGGCAGAGUACUUCCCUGGGGUGCAACUGCCCCCACACCUUUCGCCAGCGGACCUACGCUGGUGGCAGGUCUUCACUUCUGCUCUCAUCCCUCUUCUCCCCUGGCCAGCCCUGGACCCUCUUGCCCUCUAUUUGGGUGCAUGGGCUGUUCAAGUUCUUGUGGAUGGAGCUCCCCGCAGGUGGCUGAGCAGAAAAGAGGCCUUCUGUGUUCCCAGGAGUCAGUGA
RNA transcript from Octodon degus (degu), 1002 nucleotides. It is a transcript of the gene named pescadillo homolog pseudogene, with no coding region annotated. Lineage: Eukaryota; Metazoa; Chordata; Mammalia; Rodentia; Octodontidae. The transcript has a single exon. The record is from RefSeq and is a predicted model, not a curated record.